UACGAACCGUGCGAACGUUGUUCGGAAUCACUGGGCUUAAAGGGCGCGUAGGCGGGCUGACAAGUCUGGGGUGAAAUCCCGCGGCUCAACCGUGGAACUGCCUUAGAUACUGUCGGCCUCGAGGAAGGUAGGGGCAUGCGGAACUGUAGGUGGAGCGGUGAAAUGCGUUGAUAUCUACAGGAACUCCGGUGGCGAAAGCGGCGUGCUGGACCUUUUCUGACGCUGAGGCGCGAAAGCCAGGGGAGCAAACGGG
Molecule: ribosomal RNA, 253 nt
Filed under: uncultured bacterium
Lineage: Bacteria
Description: partial 16S ribosomal RNA
Rfam family: Bacterial small subunit ribosomal RNA
Source: RNAcentral